This is a long non-coding RNA of Prionailurus viverrinus (fishing cat), 2633 nucleotides long. RefSeq lists it as uncharacterized. Lineage: Eukaryota; Metazoa; Chordata; Mammalia; Carnivora; Felidae. The transcript has 7 exons. The record is from RefSeq and is a predicted model, not a curated record.
UAGAAAACUGAUUGAAGGAUUAACACAACAAUCUGCACAAACUGAACCACAGAAUUCAGCAGGAAUUUCAUUGAAAUAAGGAUCAAGAAUUUGAUUAAGUUGAAUUCAAAGACACACUAAGGCUUGCUAUUCCAGGUGUGGUCUGGAGACCAUUAGCAUCAGCGUCACCUGCAUGCUCAUCAGAAACACAUAAUCUGAGGAACCACCACAGACUGAAGUGGAAUCUGUUUUGAACAAGAUUCCAGAUGAUUGGCUUUCUGAGAGGUUGGUCGUCUUAACAACUAUGGAUUUUCGACUCUGUAUACUGAAAAGAUGUUACAAAAUUAUACAUGAGUAAAUAAUCCUUUCAACAUGCAAGAAAGAGCAAUGGAUUUGAAGGUAACAGCAUACAAGAAAAGUUGAUUGACAUGGUUUCAGAUUUUUCAACACAAUUAACCUUAAAGAAGCUACAAUUGGGAUUUCAACAGAGAACUAGAAGGAGUACAGGGAAGGUUAUGUCUUCUUUUACACAAUCUUCAGAAAGUAUGUGUCACUUGGAGAUUUAACAGAGGGCCAUGAAGACUUUCACCAAAGAAAGACCCUGGUUGUGAUAGUGAAUAUAUAUAUAUACUCACUAUUUAUCACUAUCAUUUCUACAGUUGCACCCCCUUAACCACAUGGAAUAUGUUCCAAGACUCCCAUCGGAUGCCUGAAACUGUGAAGAAAUGUAAGCAGAGACAGCUUGUUUCUGAAGUAGACACACACAAUUUGGCACAGUUCUCUACAGUUCAGCACAAUAUGGUUGAAUUGGCAGUCUCUGCUCUGAGGAAGCCAUUAUUGUCUCUGAAACUUCAUUAGUCAAAUCCCUACAGAAUGAGAUCUUUACAAGGCAGAAAUAAGACUAAUGGCGUGAUGCGGGCACAGAUACACUAAUCUUCAUACUUGAAGAAUAUUUACCAUGCAGAAAAGAUGGCUAAGCAGCUUAUAACGCAUACGACUUUCUUUCAUAAUUCAUUAUGAAGAAACAAAGUUCUUUUUUUCAGAAUCGAUUUUACUAAUGGUAAUUUGAAGACUUUUUUUUACUAUGCACAUGUAUUGAAAUUAAUUUUAAAAUAUUUUUAUAUAUUUCCUGGUAACAUAAAAUAUAAUAGUAUCACAAACAUUAACUUUUUGAAAAAAUUUAUAGGAUUUGUUUAUUGUAUUAAGCAUUGUAGUUUAUAAAGUCUUCAGUUAGCCAAAAUUCAAAAGGACCGAUUUGGAUGAGUAAACUCUUCUCCAUAUGGUAAAACUUUUUCUUUCCACUACUUUUUGGGAAUAUUUUACAAAAAAUGAUACAUUUCUUACAUUAGCACAGUAUAAGAACGUAAUAAAUAUAUUUCCCUGAGAAUCCAGUCAUUAUUAUGAAUCACAUUUGUACUAGCUUGUAAAAGUAGGUAUUAAGAUAUUAAGUGAAAUAUUUAAACUUGUAGAAAAAAAGUUACAUUGGGCCCAAAUCUUCCCUACACACACACACACACACACACACACACACACACACACAUACACACACACACACACACACAUGCGCACAUGCAUACAUGAGAUUAUAAAUAUUUAAUUUCAGGCACCAUCAACAUGUAAAAUUUAAAAUAAAUAUAUUUAAUACAUAAAGGAGUCGAAAGUUCUAACUGAAUUCUAGAUUUGAAUCCAGACCUAUCAUGGAGUCAAUAAUAUAUUUUUAAGAAAAAUUAAAAAUAAUAUACAUAAUUUAAAAUAUACAACAUGAGUCAUAGUGUUUAAAAUGAGAACAAAAAUUAAGAUAUUGUGAAAUAUUGUCAAAACAAACUACAAUAGAGUUAUUCUGAGCAUAUGGAUGCAUUCAGUAAAUACAUUAUUAAUUUGUAUACCUGAUUUUAUUCUUCAAAUGAAAUUUUAGAGUGUUCAAGUUAGGCUAUAUAAUCCUUUAAAAUUUCUACCAUAAAUAUAUCUGAGUAAUUGUGAUUCAUAAGUGGUCUACUGUACUUUAUAAUGUUCAUAUUGUCAAGUGAAAUUGUCAUAUCAAAAUUGUUCAUGUGAUUUUUAAAAUUUUGAUGUAUAUUCUUUGUUACUUUUUAUGGACUUAGCUCUCCAAGAUCAUUCACAAAUAUAGAAUAUAUAUUCCUUGUCAGGAUAGUUGAUUUUUUUGAGUAUUUAAUACUCAAGUUUUUACAUAGUAGGUGUUCACUAAGUAUUUCCUCCUUAAUUGUUUGACUAAAACAUAAUUAUUUUGUAUACUGUUGUAUACCCAGAAUCUAAAAUAUAUGGUAUAAUUAAUCAGAAGAAAUAUUAAUUAUUUCUAAGCUUAAAUCAUUAAAACAAGAACAAUAUAUUUGUGGGGCUAUUAAAUUUUAGCACAUGCAUGCAUAGUCAUUAUGCUUAAAUAUAUGGAACCUGAAUAUCUGGUAUCUAGCAGCAUAGACUUUCAUAAUUAUUAUUAUCAGAAUCAACUGUUUUUAGAGAUACUACAAAGCUAUGAAGGAAUAAACUGUUAAGUAAUUGAUUACUUGAAAACCCAUCAUUUCUCUUCAAUUUAAGGGAUGCUGGUUAUCUAAUUUGUGUUUCCUGUAUGAACCACUGUAGUCUGAUAAUUAAUUACCUUGAAAUGCUAAUCCAAUGUAAAAUUCAAUAAAUUGCUU